Molecule: long non-coding RNA, 6820 nt
Filed under: Homo sapiens (human)
Lineage: Eukaryota; Metazoa; Chordata; Mammalia; Primates; Hominidae
Description: HSALNT0352470
Source: RNAcentral
CCCUAAAAUGGAAUAUUAUGUGGCGUUAAAAAAGAGAGAGAGAGAAAGAGAGGAGAAGCAAGAAAAAGAGAAAGCUUUCUACAUUCAAACUAAUAGUAGAAAACUCUCCAAGAUACAAUUUUAAAGAAAAAAAAAUCAAAGUCGAGAAAACUAUAGAGGAGGCUGCCUUUAGUGUAAGACAGUUGAAAAUUAUAAAUAUAUUCAUAUGUUUAUAAAGAAAUUUUAGGAGGCUAUAAAAAAACAAAACAAAGGGAAAGAGGAACAGGAGCUGGGACAUAGGUGAGCAAGAUGCAUGGCAGGCAUAUGUCUUCAUCUUCUUAUGCUUUUAUUUAAAAAUGUUGGACCACGUGUACAUGUUAUCUAUUUUAAAAAUUAGAUUUUAAAAUACAAGCAAGAAAACAAGAAAAUGAAAGCAUAAAAAGAGCAUGUGGAACUACCAGUAAAAGAUACUAAUCCAUGGAGAUAAUGGCAAGGUAGCUCCUAGAUGCACUGAUUUCUCUACCACACUGUAUAAACAAGCCAUCAACUAUGCGAUUUGUAAUUAAAAAUGAGUCUAUUUGAAACACCACAUUAUAAAAAGCUAUUAAGUAAAUCUUCAAAGUGACAGUAAAUGAUGACUUAACAUUUUAAAGAGAUACAGUCACAUCGCAUGUGUGAAUGCAGUCAUCUGUAUAAAAUGUCAUCAUUACCUUCAUCAUUUCUUCUUCUCCUGCUGUUUUACUUUUUGCUUCUAUGUCCCCUGCUUCAUUGCAUCUAAUAAAGCAGCUAUUUGAGGCCAACAAAUCCAUUUUCCCCUAAGUGAAACAAAAUAACAAAAUAGCCAUGAGGAUACUUCUUGUAGAAGAAAUAUUAAGUGUUUAGACUGAAUGAAUUUUUCCUCCCUGAUUUAAAAAUCACAGAAAAGAACUUAGAGAAAAACCUGAAAAAUGUAAUACAAGAACAUAUAGAAAAGGAAACCAAAAUCACCUUUCAUUUUGCUUUCAAAGAUUGCCACAAUAAAUAUUUGUAGUGUAUCUUCCUAGUAGGACUAAACUCUAAUUAGAUGAGGUAGGAUUGCUUCCUUUCUAAAAGAUCUACUGAAGAUAAAACUGAUUUAGUUCUGUUUGAAAAAUUAACUUUAAAGACAAGAACAUAAUUAUGAAUGCAUACUUUAUUCAAAUAUUAGCAUUUUAAGUAAAAUUUAUUUUCUUCACAAUUAGAAAACAUGAAAAGGCAUAUACAAUGCCUUUGGUGUUUUGAAUUUAAGAAUCAAUGUCUGAGGGACUUUUGUGUGUGAAAAUAAAUAUUCAUGGCCGGGCGCGGUGGCUCACGCCUGUAAUCCUAGCACUUUGGGAGGCCGAGGCGGGUGGAUCACGAGGUCAGGAGAUCGAGACCAUCCUGGCUAACAUGGUGAAACCCCGUCUCUACUAAAAAUACAAAAAAUUAGCCGGGUGUGGUGGCGGGCACCUGUAGUCCCAGCUACUCGGGAGGCUGAGGCAAGAGAAUGGCAUGAACCAGGGAGGCAGAGCUUGCAGUGAGCCGAGAUCGUGCCACUGCACUCCAGCCUGGGCGACAGAGCCAGACUCUGCUUAAAAAAUAAAUAAAUAAAUAAAUAUUCAUACACAUUUUUCGUUGUUUAAUGUUUGAUGUAUUACACUGCUUUCUAUUAAACAAAACUUUAAAAACUGAUUUUCUUGUGUAUCUAAAUCUGGGUUAUAAAUUUGGUUAGCUUAACUCCCGUAACAAAUAUAGUGUUUAUUUAUAACUUGUAUUUGGUUGAUUCUUUUGGAAAACUUGGAAUACAAUAACAUUUAGACAAAAUAUUUAUAAAUACAAUGAUUACAAAAUAUGUUAACCUUAUAUCACAUCCAGUUAAAAACGUGCUGAUAAUAUGGAUUUAAUUUCUUAGUCAAGUCACAAGGGCUGGGUGGUCUCUCAUCUCGAUGGCUCCCGGUGAGCCCUGGAACAUGGCGGUGUGGUCCAAGGCGAUUUAAACCUGUGCCGCAGAUUAUUCAGCUGAGUCCUUUUUGCAAUAGAGAUUUAAGACCCUCUUUCAUUUAAAUUUAAAUUUUUGAAACUUAGUGUCAAAUGCUAAAAUAUCAUUGGAACAUUACUUUAGAUUAGAAAAUAUUUUAUUAAUAAUUCAGACAGAGUGUGAUAUGGUUUGGCUGUGUCCCCCCCAAAUCUCAUCUUGAAUUGUAGUUCCCAUAAUCCCCACAUGUUACCCAGUGGGAGGUAAUUGAAUCAUGGGGGCGGUUAGCCCAUGCUGCUAUUCUCAUGAUAGUGAGUGAGUUCUCAUGAGAUCUGAUGGUUUUAUCCAGGACUUUUCCCCCUUUUGCUCAGCACCUCUCCUUGCUGCUGCCAUGUGAAGAAGGAUGUGUUUGCUUCCCGUUCCGCCAUGAUUGUAAGUUUCCUGAGGCCUCCCCGAACUAUGAGUCAAUUAAAUCUCUUUCGUUUAUAAAUAGCCGAGCACUGUGAGAAUGGACUAAUAAAUACGAGUGUCUUAAUCCAUUUUGCAUUGUUAUAAAGGAAUAUCUGAGGCUGGGUAAUUUAAUAAAAUAAGACAUUUAUUUGACUCACGGUUCUUCAGGCUCUGCAAGAAGCAUGGCACCAGCAUCUGCUUCUGGUGAGGACCUCAUGAAGUUUCUAACCAUGGGGGGAGGCCAAGAGAGAGCAGGCAUGUCACAUGGCAAGGGAGGGAGCAAGAGAGAGGGGAGGAGUGCCAUGCUCUUUUAGGCAGCCAGAUCCCACAGGAACUAAGAGUGAGAAUUCACUCAAUCCUAACAUAAUGACACCAAGCAACUCAUGAGGGAUCUGCCCCCCUGACCCAAACACCUCCAACUAGGCCCCACCUCCCACAUUAGGGAUGAAAUUUCAACAUGAUAUUUGGAGGGAACUAAUAUCCAAACUAUGUCAUAGAGGUAUGUGUGUAACCUCAUUCAUUUAUGCAUUCAUUCAACAAAAUAUGUAGUGAGCACCUGCUAUGUGCCAGGCACUGUGCUAGGCUGUAGAUAUGACUCAUAAAUAAGAUUAAUAUUGCCACAGUCCUUAGGAGCCUAGUGUAGUUGGGGAGUAAAUAAGCAAACAGAUAAUUUCUAUACCUGGUAAUUACUACCUUGAUAGGGCAAAGAGGAUUCUGUUUGUGCUGUAAAAGCACAUGAAAAGUACAAAGUCAAUCCUUGGGAGGUCAUGGAAUCUUUCCUAGGAAAUGAUAUAUAAGGUGGAUAAAAAGGUAACCAGAUACAGAUGAGAAGAGAAGGUGGGCCAGAAAUUUUGAAAUACUGAACCAACUGGAUGUCAUUCACUGACAUAGGGUAAUAGUAUAGAUGACUGGAUUGGAAAAUGAAAAAGGAACUAAAAGUAAUUAAAUGAGCUGCAGACAUGAAAAUGAACACUUGGGAAGUCCUGGCAGGAAGUCAUCAAUAAGACAACAUAAUGAAGUGGAAAGUGGUUGGGAGUAAGGCUGACUUGGAUUCAAACCCUAGUUUCACCACUUAAUAGACGUGUUAAGUUGAACAAAUCCUUUAACUUUUCAGAGCCUCAAUUUUCCUCUUUGUAAAAUACAGAUAAUAACAUGGACACUAUAAGGGUUUUGUUGUUGUUGUUGUUGUUUUGAGACGGAGUCUUGCUCUGUUGCCCAGGCUGGAGUGCAGUGCCUCGAUCUUGGCUCACUGCAACCUCUGCCUCCUGGGUUCAAGCGAUUCUCCUGCCUCAGCUUCCAGAGUAGCUGGGACUACAGGCGCACGCCACCAUGCCUGGCUAAUUUUUGUAUUUUUUGUAGAGACGGGGUUUCACCAUAUUGGCCAGGCUGGUCUCGAACUCCUGAUCUCAGAUGAUCCGCCUGCCUUGGCCUCCCAAAGUGCUGGGAUUACAGGCGUGAGCCACCGCACCUGGCCCAGACACUGUAAGUUUUGGGGAGGAUUAAAUGGGAUCAUCCAUGUAAAUGCGCCUAUCCCAGUCUCUAGCACACACUGAACACUCAAAAAUGGGAGGUUUUGGUAUUUCAGAAGAAAAUCAGGUGUCGGGGAGUGUUAGUAGUAACCUUGAACUAUAUGCAAAGACUAAAGCUAGGAAGAUAGGAAGAGUUUUACAAGAUCCUUUUGGCUAUAUAGUUAAAGUUAUUAGCAGUUAGAGUUUCCCUUACAGUUGACAAGUGAACCAUACAAGUGAAUGACUUGUGGUUCCUCAGAUAAAAGCACGAGUCAGAGUUGUAAUUUCUGUUUUGUGGACGUAAUUGUUGACCAAGUGCACUGAAGGUAGGGAUGGCCAGUAACAAAAUUAUAAAGCAGGCCUGUUUGUCUUCAAACACUCCUGAGUAAACUUGUCAUUUCCUUGUAAAAAUGCAAAAUAGACUACUGAGUAGAGGUGAUCAAUUACAGAAAUGCACUUACUUUGGCUUUCUUCUGAAACCUAAUAAAAUGACAGUAAAGGGAUUAUUUUUUUAAGGCAGAAACCCACAAUGAUGAUGAAAUUAGAAAGGAAGACAAGAACAACAAGGUUGUGGAAUUCAGAAGCCAUAUAGACAAGAGGUAACACACCUGAGAAAGAUGAUCCCUAAAUUUGUCUUGGAGAAAACUCAGAAGUACCUGACUACAUCAUAGACCUCCCAAACAGCUUCCAAAUGUCAGAUACCACUGAAAAUGGGGAUAAAGGUAGGGUCAAAAAUAGGAGGAUUGGGUUAUAAGUCUGUAUAAGAAGUUGUUAGAUCCCUACAUCCUCUCUUCAAACCUGUAUAGCCAGAUAAUGGUCCCUCUCCCAGCCUGGCAGAGGCUGGAAAAGGUAAAUAGAGAAACUUACUUCCUGGAGAACAUUUGGCACAUUUGGGGAUGGAGUUCAGUAAUAUAAAUGAAGGGGUAGUGAAAAUUUAUGGGAACAUUUAUAAGCUAACAGAACCCCAUGUCUUUUACCCCAUUCUAAUUCCAGACCACUAGAGAUUAGAAAAUUAUUCUCUGGGGUAUCUGACCACUUCCAGAGGAAAGACAUAAAGAUGCUGAUGUCGAGAAUGACCCAACUAAAUGGCCCAGCCAGAUGACCCAGUUGAAGCUGGUGGACAAGAAGUUUCAUUCAUGGAAUCAGAACUUCCAAUAAGCUGGGAAAACGGCAAUGGAUUAAUAACAAGAAAUUAAUGGUGAAGUGGUGACGAAAAUUCUACAUUGCUUAGAAAGCAAAUAGUGAAAUGAACAUUUACAUUCUGGCAACCUCAGAAGUACAACGAACAAAGGACACCAGCCAGGUAGGGCAAAGGCCUGUGAACCCCCUUUUGCUGUUAAAUGUUUAUCAGAUGAGUGCUCUGUUUCUGUUAUAUUAUAUUGCUUUUCUCUCCAAUGUUUACUGAGGAAGAACAAGUAGCUCCUCAGGCAAGUCAACUGUUAACUUUGCAGUUUUUAUUUAAUCUCCCAGGAAUGUAACCCUUAACUUUAAAGAAUGUAGUGACCAUAAAACUUAUAAAGCAUGUUUCUUAAGGAAAUUGUACCUGUUUAUUUAAUCUAUCAGAUAUGAAUGUUAUAGAAAAUUAAAUUUGUCCACUUAAGCUGUAGAUGAACUUUUCACCUUUCUGAUCAGAAAUUCACCAUCUUAUAGUAUAGGUUCUGUUAUUAAUCAGAAUAUUUCAUUUAGACUCUUUCUAUCCAACUUUUUCUUAGAGGCUAUUCAAAAUAAAGGUGCUUCUAACAGUUUCAUAUCGAAAUACGAUGCAAAGCCUUGCUCUUCCAUGGUAUCCUUUGAGUGAGCCAAACUUAUUUAGCCAUUCCCCUAUAGUUAAAUAGCUAGGAUGUUUCCAACAUCUCACCUUUAAAACAAUAGUGCUAUGAAUGUCAUAAAUGUUUGUAUAUGUAAAUAUGUAGGAUAAAUCCCUAUCAGUAGAAUUUCAAAAGGUAUACGCAAUCAGUAUUUUCAUACAUAUUUAAAAUUUUCCAUCCAUACAAAGGUUGCUAACAUAUUUAUUUAAAAUUUUAAAAAUAAUUUUAUAUGCCUCUUGUAACCAGUAAUAGGAUGCAAAGUUUUUUUUAAGGUAACAUUGCUCCUCUUCCCCCAUUGUCUCUGUCAUCUAUAGUACUCCCUGAGGUAGUUCAUGUUAUUGCAAGGGUGUGUAUCAUCACAAACAUAUUGCUUCCACAUACAUAUAUCAGCAUACAUAUAUAUAUAUGUAUAGCAUAUAUAUAUAUGAGCACAUAUUAAUAUAUGCCCAUGCACAUACAAGCAUGUUUUUGUUAAUUUUUACUGAAAUGGAAUCAUACUGCAUACUUAUGAACAAAUUGCUUCUUUCACCUUAUAUCACUUAUAAUUGUUAUUCUACAAAUCAGUACAUAUAAAAAAUACAUAUUUACAUAUGUAAUACUCUAUCUUUCUGUUAUAAUUUUCUGCAUGCACAUGUAUGCAUAUACAUAUAUUCAUAAACAUAAAACUUAAUCUAAACGGGAUUUUUUUUGGGGGGGGUGAUAUGGUUUGGCUGUGUCCCCACCCAAAUCUCAUCUUGAAUUCCCAUGUGUUGUGGGGGGACCCGGUGGGAGGUAAUUGAAUUAUGGGGGCAGGUCUUUCCUGUGCUGUUCUCGGGAUAGUGAAAAAGUCUCACAAGAUCUGAUGGUUUUAAAAAGAUGAGUUUCCCUGCAUAAUCUCUCUUCUCCUGUCUGGUUCCAUGUGAGAUGUGCCUUUUGCCUUCCGCCAUGAUUGUGAGGCCUCCCCAGCCAUGUGGAACUGCCCAUAGGUGGAAGGGACUUGCCUUGUCUCAGAUGAGACUUUGGACUUUGGACUGUGGACUUUUGAGUUAACACUGAAAUGAAUUAAUGCUGAAAUGAAUUAAGACUUUGGGAGACGGUUGAGAAGCCAUGACUCAUUUUAAAAU